GACGAACGCUGGCGGCGUGCUUAACACAUGCAAGUCGAACGGAAAGGCCCUGCUUUUGUGGGGUGCUCGAGUGGCGAACGGGUGAGUAACACGUGAGUAACCUGCCCUUGACUUUGGGAUAACUUCAGGAAACUGGGGCUAAUACCGGAUAGGAGCUCCUGCUGCAUGGUGGGGGUUGGAAAGUUUCGGCGGUUGGGGAUGGACUCGCGGCUUAUCAGCUUGUUGGUGGGGUAGUGGCUUACCAAGGCUUUGACGGGUAGCCGGCCUGAGAGGGUGACCGGCCACAUUGGGACUGAGAUACGGCCCAGACUCCUACGGGAGGCAGCAGUGGGGAAUAUUGCACAAUGGGCGGAAGCCUGAUGCAGCAACGCCGCGUGCGGGAUGACGGCCUUCGGGUUGUAAACCGCUUUCGCCUGUGACGAAGCGUGAGUGACGGUAAUGGGUAAAGAAGCACCGGCUAACUACGUGCCAGCAGCCGCGGUGAUACGUAGGGUGCGAGCGUUGUCCGGAUUUAUUGGGCGUAAAGGGCUCGUAGGUGGUUGAUCGCGUCGGAAGUGUAAUCUUGGGGCUUAACCCUGAGCGUGCUUUCGAUACGGGUUGACUUGAGGAAGGUAGGGGAGAAUGGAAUUCCUGGUGGAGCGGUGGAAUGCGCAGAUAUCAGGAGGAACACCAGUGGCGAAGGCGGUUCUCUGGGCCUUUCCUGACGCUGAGGAGCGAAAGCGUGGGGAGCGAACAGGCUUAGAUACCCUGGUAGUCCACGCUGUAAACGGUGGGUACUAGGUGUGGGGUCCAUUCCACGGGUUCCGUGCCGUAGCUAACGCUUUAAGUACCCCGCCUGGGGAGUACGGCCGCAAGGCUAAAACUCAAAGGAAUUGACGGGGCCCCGCACAAGCGGCGGAGCAUGCGGAUUAAUUCGAUGCAACGCGUAGAACCUUACCUGGGUUUGACAUGGAUCGGGAGUGCUCAGAGAUGGGUGUGCCUCUUUUGGGGUCGGUUCACAGGUGGUGCAUGGCUGUCGUCAGCUCGUGUCGUGAGAUGUUGGGUUAAGUCCCGCAACGAGCGCAACCCUUGUUCACUGUUGCCAGCACGUUAUGGUGGGGACUCAGUGGAGACCGCCGGGGUCAACUCGGAGGAAGGUGGGGAUGACGUCAAGUCAUCAUGCCCCUUAUGUCCAGGGCUUCACGCAUGCUACAAUGGCUGGUACAGAGAGUGGCGAGCCUGUGAGGGUGAGCGAAUCUCGGAAAGCCGGUCUCAGUUCGGAUUGGGGUCUGCAACUCGACCUCAUGAAGUCGGAGUCGCUAGUAAUCGCAGAUCAGCAACGCUGCGGUGAAUACGUUCCCGGGGCUUGUACACACCGCCCGUCAAGUCAUGAAAGUUGGUAACACCCGAAGCCGGUGGCCUAACCGUUGUGGGGGAGCCGUCGAAGGUGGGACUGGUGAUUAGGACUAAGU
Molecule: ribosomal RNA, 1451 nt
Filed under: uncultured organism
Description: 16S ribosomal RNA
Rfam family: Bacterial small subunit ribosomal RNA
Source: RNAcentral